RNAcentral lists this unclassified non-coding RNA (141 nucleotides) under uncultured Mycosphaerellaceae. RNAcentral describes it as "sequence contains ITS2". Lineage: Eukaryota; Fungi; Ascomycota; Dothideomycetes; Mycosphaerellales; Mycosphaerellaceae. The record is from RNAcentral.
CACCACUCAAGCCUAGCUUGGUAUUGGGCGUCGCGGUUCCGCGCGCCUUAAAGUCUCCGGCUGAGCAGUUCGUCUCUAAGCGUUGUGACAUAUAUUUCGCUGAAGAGUUCGGACGGCUUUUGGCCGUUAAAUCUUUUACAA